Molecule: non-coding RNA, 21 nt
Filed under: Mus musculus (house mouse)
Lineage: Eukaryota; Metazoa; Chordata; Mammalia; Rodentia; Muridae
Also listed under: 1 other name
Source: RNAcentral
UCAAUAAAUAUUUGUAGAAUG